This 578-nucleotide ribosomal RNA is filed under the name uncultured archaeon. Its description in RNAcentral is "bacterial SSU rRNA". It matches the Rfam family "Archaeal small subunit ribosomal RNA", at positions 701 to 1277 of the family's 1478-position model. The record is from RNAcentral.
GGGAUGAAAGCUGGGGGAGCAANCCGGAUUAGAUACCCGGGUAGUCCCAGCUGUAAACGAUGCAGACUCGGUGAUGCANNNNNNUGUGGCCAAUGCAGUGCCGCAGGGGAGCCGUUAAGUCUGCCGCCUGGGAAGUACGUACGCAAGUAUGAAACUUAAAGGAAUUGGCGGGGGAGCACCACAAGGGGUGAAGCCUGCGGUUCAAUUGGAGUCAACGCCAGAAAUCUUACCUGGGGAGACAGCAGAAUGAAGGUCAAGCUGAAGACUUUACCAGACACGCUGAGAGGUGGUGCAUGGCCGUCGCCAGCUCGUGCCGUGAGAUGUCCUGUUAAGUCAGGUAACGAGCGAGACCCCUGCGUCUAGUUGCUACCAUUACUCUCUGGNGCAGUGGAGCGAAUUAGACGGACCGCCACAGUUAAUGUGGAGGAAGGAAGGGGCCACGGCAGGUCAGNAUGCCCCGAAACCCUAGGGCUACACGCGGGCUGCAAUGGUAUUGACAAUGUGUUCCGAAUCCGAAAGGAGGAGGCAAUCAUCAAACAAUAUCUCAGUUAUGACUGAGGGCUGUAACUCGCCCUCAC